RNAcentral lists this transfer RNA (68 nucleotides) under Filhollianassa ceramica. RNAcentral describes it as "tRNA-Ser". Lineage: Eukaryota; Metazoa; Arthropoda; Malacostraca; Decapoda; Callianassidae. The record is from RNAcentral.
AAGGUAUCUAGGUGGAGGUCUGGGUUUCUAACCUUUGACCUAAGUGGUUAAAUUCCAUUUAUACUUUG